GCAGGCCCAAGGUCACAAUGCUCGCCCCGAACGGCUCCGGCCCCCCUCGCGAGCGGGAUAAGGUCCUGGCAUUCGACCCCCACCACCCGGCCCAAAGGCCGCGCGCGUCAUGCGCGGCGCCCUCGACCAGAAAUGCGCUGUGCGCCGGACGACUCCCGGAGACGCGGACCCGGCCUAGGCCUGGGCGAGCUGAGGGCCGGCGCGCGGCUUGGUAGGAGGGCGGGGGAUGCCUGGCGUCCUGAGGCGCGUCUCGAGAGAGCACGCGCCCGGCGUCAAGGCUUUAGUGCAAUUUGGUGACGUCCCCACUCACCCUCGGCGCUGCCGAGGGGGGAUAACUCGAUCAGGACUACUCUGGGCCUGC
This 361-nucleotide RNase P RNA is filed under the name Cutaneotrichosporon oleaginosum. RNAcentral describes it as "Trichosporon oleaginosus Nuclear RNase P". It matches the Rfam family "Nuclear RNase P". Rfam says of the family: Ribonuclease P (RNase P) is a ubiquitous endoribonuclease, found in archaea, bacteria and eukarya as well as chloroplasts and mitochondria. Its best characterised activity is the generation of mature 5'-ends of tRNAs by cleaving the 5'-leader elements of precursor-tRNAs. Lineage: Eukaryota; Fungi; Basidiomycota; Tremellomycetes; Trichosporonales; Trichosporonaceae. The record is from Rfam by way of RNAcentral.